Molecule: ribosomal RNA, 528 nt
Filed under: uncultured bacterium
Lineage: Bacteria
Description: bacterial SSU rRNA
Rfam family: Bacterial small subunit ribosomal RNA
Source: RNAcentral
AGUGGGGAAUAUUGCACAAUGGGGGAAACCCUGAUGCAGCAACGCCGCGUGGAGGAUGAGGGUCUUCGGAUUGUAAACUCCUUUGAUCGGGGAUGAAUAAUGACAGUACCCGAAAAACAAGCCACGGCUAACUACGUGCCAGCAGCCGCGGUAAUACGUAGGUGGCAAGCGUUGUCCGGAAUUAUUGGGCGUAAAGGGCGCGUAGGCGGUCUUUUAAGUCAGAUGUGAAAUCCCGAGGCUCAACUUCGGGCGUGCAUUUGAAACUGGGAGACUAGAGUGCAGGAGAGGUAAGUGGAAUUCCUAGUGUAGCGGUGAAAUGCGUAGAUAUUAGGAGGAACACCAGUGGCGAAGGCGACUUACUGGACUGUAACUGACGCUGAGGCGCGAAAGCGUGGGGAGCAAACAGGAUUAGAUACCCUGGUAGUCCACGCUGUAAACGAUGGAUACUAGGUGUGGGAGGUAUCGACCCCUUCCGUGCCGCAGUAAACGCAAUAAGUAUCCCGCCUGGGGAGUACGGCCGCAAGGUUG